RNAcentral lists this ribosomal RNA (519 nucleotides) under uncultured bacterium. RNAcentral's name for it is "bacterial SSU rRNA". It matches the Rfam family "Bacterial small subunit ribosomal RNA", at positions 27 to 518 of the family's 1533-position model. The record is from RNAcentral.
GGACGAACGCUGGCGGCGUGCCUAAUACAUGCAAGUCGAACGGUCUUUCUAUGGAAGCUUGCUCCACUGAGAAGAUAGUGGCGAACGGGUGAGUAACACGUGGGUAACCUGCCCAUAAGAGGGGGAGUAACAUCCGGAAACGGGUGCUAAUACCGCAUAGUUUUCUUGAUCGCAUGAUUGAGAAAGGAAAGACGGCCUUUGUGCUGUCGCUUAUGGAUGGACCCGCGGCGUAUUAGUUAGUUGGUGAGGUAACGGCUCACCAAGACGAUGAUACGUAGCCGACCUGAGAGGGUGAUCGGCCACAUUGGGACUGAGACACGGCCCAAACUCCUACGGGAGGCAGCAGUAGGGAAUCUUCCGCAAUGGACGAAAGUCUGACGGAGCAACGCCGCGUGAGUGAAAGAAGGUUUUUCGGAUCGUAAAACUCUGUUGUCAGAGAAGAACAAGUUGGAGAGUAACUGCUCCAGCCUUGACGGUAUCUGACCAGAAAGCCACGGCUAACUACGUGCCAGCCGCGGC